GAUGAACGCUGGCGGCGUGCCUAAUACAUGCAAGUCGAGCGAACAGACGAGGAGCUUGCUCCUCUGACGUUAGCGACGGACGGGUGAGUCACACGUGGAUAACCUACCUAUAAGACUUGGCUAACUUCGGGAAACCGGAGCUACUACCGGGUACUAUAUUUAACCGCAUGGUUCAGUAGUGAAUGGCGGUUUUGCUGUCACUUAUAGAUGUAUCCGCGCCGCGUUAGCUAGUUGGUAACGUAACGGCUUACCAAGGCAACGAUGCGUAGCCGAGAUUAGAGGGGGAAGGGGGCCACAGGAACUGAGACGCGGUACUGACUCCUAGGGGAGGCAGAAGUAGCGAAUCGUCCGAAAAGUGCGGAAGCCUGCCGGAGCAAUGCCGGGUGGGUGAUGAAGGGCUGCGUAUCGUAAAACGCCGUUAGGAGGGAAGAACAAAUGUGUAAGUAACGAUGCACUUCCUGACGGUACUUAAUAAGAAAGCCACGGCUAACUACGUG
RNAcentral lists this ribosomal RNA (497 nucleotides) under uncultured bacterium. RNAcentral's name for it is "partial 16S ribosomal RNA". It matches the Rfam family "Bacterial small subunit ribosomal RNA", at positions 28 to 507 of the family's 1533-position model. The record is from RNAcentral.